ACGAACGCUGGCGGCGUGCUUAACACAUGCAAGUCGAACGAGAGGACAAGAGAAGCUUGCUUCUUUGGAAUCGAGUGGCAAACGGGUGAGUAACACGUAAACAACCUGCCUUCAGGAUGGGGACAACAGACGGAAACGACUGCUAAUACCGAAUACGCUUGGGAGACCGCAUGAUCUACCAAGGAAAGGGUGGCCUCUACCUGUAAGCUAUCGCCUGAAGAGGGGUUUGCGUCUGAUUAGGCAGUUGGUGAGGUAACGGCCCACCAAACCUACGAUCAGUAGCCGGUCUGAGAGGAUGAACGGCCACACUGGAACUGAGACACGGUCCAGACUCCUACGGGAGGCAGCAGUGGGGAAUCUUCCGCAAUGGGCGAAAGCCUGACGGAGCAACGCCGCGUGAGUGAUGACGGCCUUCGGGUUGUAAAGCUCUGUGAUCGGGGACGAACGGUCCGUAAGCUAAUACCUUAUGGAAGUGACGGUACCCGAAUAGCAAGCCACGGCUAACUACGUG
RNAcentral lists this ribosomal RNA (511 nucleotides) under uncultured bacterium. RNAcentral's name for it is "bacterial SSU rRNA". It matches the Rfam family "Bacterial small subunit ribosomal RNA", at positions 29 to 507 of the family's 1533-position model. The record is from RNAcentral.